GUGGGUAGUUUGACUGGGGCGGUCUCCUCCUAAAGAGUAACGGAGGAGCACGAAGGUUGGCUAAUCCUGGUCGGACAUCAGGAGGUUAGUGCAAUGGCAUAAGCCAGCUUGACUGCGAGCGUGACGGCGCGAGCAGGUGCGAAAGCAGGUCAUAGUGAUCCGGUGGUUCUGAAUGGAAGGGCCAUCGCUCAACGGAUAAAAGGUACUCCGGGGAUAACAGGCUGAUACCGCCCAAGAGUUCAUAUCGACGGCGGUGUUUGGCACCUCGAUGUCGGCUCAUCACAUCCUGGGGCUGAAGUAGGUCCCAAGGGUAUGGCUGUUCGCCAUUUAAAGUGGUACGCGAGCUGGGUUUAGAACGUCGUGAGACAGUUCGGUCCCUAUCUGCCGUGGGCGCUGGAGAACUGAGGGGGGCUGCUCCUAGUACGAGAGGACCGGAGUGGACGCAUCACUGGUGUUCGGGUUGUCAUGCCAAUGGCACUGCCCGGUAGCUAAAUGCGGAAGAGAUAAGUGCUGAAAGCAUCUAAGCACGAAACUUGCCCCGAGAUGAGUUCUCCCUGAGACUUAGAGUCUCCUGAAGGAACGUUGAAGACGACGACGUUGAUAGGCCGGGUGUGUAAGCGCAGCGAUGCGUUGAGCUAACCGGUACUAAUGAACCGUGAGGCUUAACCUUACAACG
RNAcentral lists this ribosomal RNA (676 nucleotides) under Salmonella enterica subsp. enterica serovar Bareilly. RNAcentral describes it as "partial 23S ribosomal RNA". It matches the Rfam family "Bacterial large subunit ribosomal RNA", at positions 2261 to 2925 of the family's 2925-position model. The record is from RNAcentral. Lineage: Bacteria; Pseudomonadati; Pseudomonadota; Gammaproteobacteria; Enterobacterales; Enterobacteriaceae. RNAcentral also lists the same sequence under 2 other names.